GCAGCCGCGGUAAUACGUAUGGUGCAAGCGUUAUCCGGAUUUACUGGGUGUAAAGGGAGCGUAGACGGCUCAGUAAGUCUGAUGUGAAAACCCGGGGCUCAACCCCGGGACUGCAUUGGAAACUAUUGAGCUAGAGUGUCGGAGAGGUAAGCGGAAUUCCUAGUGUAGCGGUGAAAUGCGUAGAUAUUAGGAGGAACACCAGUGGCGAAGGCGGCUUACUGGACGAUAACUGACGUUGAGGCUCGAAAGCGUGGGGAGCAAACAGGAUUAGAUACCCC
Molecule: ribosomal RNA, 278 nt
Filed under: uncultured Coprococcus sp.
Lineage: Bacteria; Bacillati; Bacillota; Clostridia; Lachnospirales; Lachnospiraceae
Description: partial 16S ribosomal RNA
Rfam family: Bacterial small subunit ribosomal RNA
Source: RNAcentral